RNAcentral lists this ribosomal RNA (344 nucleotides) under uncultured fungus. RNAcentral's name for it is "SSU rRNA". It matches the Rfam family "Eukaryotic small subunit ribosomal RNA", at positions 292 to 636 of the family's 1831-position model. The record is from RNAcentral. Lineage: Eukaryota; Fungi.
GGUUCAUUCAAAUUUCUGCCCUAUCAACUUUCGAUGGUCGGGUCUUGGCCCACCAUGGUGACAACGGGUAACGGAGGGUUAGGGCUCGACCCCGGAGAAGGAGCCUGAGAAACGGCUACUACAUCCAAGGAAGGCAGCAGGCGCGCAAAUUACCCAAUCCCGACCGGGGAGGUAGUGACGAGAAAUACUGAUACAGGGUUCUUUUGGAUCUUGUAAUUGGAAUGAGUACAAUUUAAAUCCCUUAACGAGGAACAAUUGGAGGGCAAGUCUGGUGCCAGCAGCCGCGGUAAUUCCAGCUCCAAUAGCGUAUAUUAAAGUUGUUGAGGUUAAAAAGCUCGUAGUUG